CCAGACAGCCAGGAUGUUGGCUUAGAAGCAGCCAUCAUUUAAAGAAAGCGUAAUAGCUCACUGGUCGAGUCGGCCUGCGCGGAAGAUGUAACGGGGCUAAACCAUGCACCGAAGCUGCGGCAGCGACGCUUAUGCGUUGUUGGGUAGGGGAGCGUUCUGUAAGCCUGUGAAGGUGGCCUGUGAGGGUUGCUGGAGGUAUCAGAAGUGCGAAUGCUGACAUAAGUAACGAUAAAGCGGGUGAAAAGCCCGCUCGCCGGAAGAC
Molecule: ribosomal RNA, 262 nt
Filed under: Escherichia coli
Lineage: Bacteria; Pseudomonadati; Pseudomonadota; Gammaproteobacteria; Enterobacterales; Enterobacteriaceae
Also listed under: 4 other names
Description: partial 23S ribosomal RNA
Rfam family: Bacterial large subunit ribosomal RNA
Source: RNAcentral